AACGCAAAAAAAGAAAAAAAAAAAAAAUAUAUAUAUUUAUACGAGUAUAGAAGAAAUAGGUAUAAAAUGUCAUGAACAAAUGAUUAUUGAAAAAGAAAACAUGGAUUAUUAUUUUUUAAAUUUAAAUUUAUUAUAUAAAUAUAUAAAUGAAAGAAAAAGCAUUUUUAUGAAUAUAAAAAAAAAGAUGGUGAAUUAAAACACUAUUAUGAAAGCAUAAAAUUUUAUGAAAAAUAUAUAUUAGAUAUAGAAGAUGAGAAAAGACAAAUUGAAGAAAAUAUUGUAGUGUGUACAGGUGACAGCAGUAAUAGUAACAACUGUAAUAAUAAGACAACAAUUACUCCAGAAAUGAACAAAAUUAAUAAAAGAUACAAAAGAAACGUCUUAGCUGCAAUAAAAGAAAAAAAUGAUGCUAUUAUUGACAUAUAUAAAAAUGUUAGAUAUAUAUAUGAGAAAAAAAAACAAAAUUUUUUUAUUUAUAAAAAAAAAAGUAAAAUAAACAAAACAAAAGUAGACAUUUUUAAAUUAAAUAAAUUUAUGUUAUUUAUUCAAAAUGAGUUAAAUGAUUACAAUACAUAUAUAUUUUAUCAUAAAUUAUUAGUAGAUUUUUUAAAAAAACAAAUCAGGUGUUGUGAUGCAUAUUUAGCAGAAUUACUACUCCAUUUUGAUCAUUUUAAUAAAUAUAUCUCUGAUAACGGUAAUAAUAAUGAACGAAUGGAAAAUCAGAAAAAAAUGCUAAUAUAUAUAUACGAAAAGGUUGAGGAAUUAAUUAAGAGAUUAAUAUCUUGCGAAAAACAUACAAAUGAUAUUUUAAUUGGUUAUAGUGAAAUGCUAGAUAAAUUAUAUUUACUACGAUAUAAACAUAACAGUAAUUACAGAAAAUACAGGCAUUUGUAUUUGUCAACUAAUUAUUUUUACAAAGAAAAUAAAAAAAAUAAUAUAUAUAUGUUUACUAAUCAAUAUGAAAAUAUAAAAAACUAUGAAACUUGUGAACAAAUUAUAAAAGACAUAAACAAUGAUAUAAAUAUUGUCAAAAUGACACAAGAAAAAUGUAAACAUAGAACAGUUUUUCUCGAAGAAAUAGAACAAACAAUAAAAAAUGAAUUUAGAACUAUACAACAGGUGUUUAUAAAUAACCAUAGCAAUAGUAGCAAUAGUAGCAAUAGUAGCAAUAGUAGAAAUAGUAGCAAUAGUAGAAAUAGUAGAAAUAGUAGAAAUAGUAGCAAUAGUAGCAAUAACAGUGGUAAACACACAUAUUUUAAUUUAUCAGUUUUAUAUUAUAGCGCAUUUAACGAAAAUAUGAAGAAUCGUGAUUUUAUUUCAGUUUUUAAAACGAAACUAAAAAAAUAAAAUCGUUUUAUGUAAGAAAGUGUUACAGAAAGUGUAUGAUUCGCUUAAUGAGGACCCAACAGAUGGUUCGGCAGAAAAUGGUAUUAAUAGUAACACUACUGAUAGUACAAAUACAAAUACCGACACGAGCAAUAACCUU
This 1486-nucleotide long non-coding RNA is filed under the name Piliocolobus tephrosceles (Ugandan red Colobus). Its description in RNAcentral is "lncRNA (ENSPTEG00000009775.1)". Lineage: Eukaryota; Metazoa; Chordata; Mammalia; Primates; Cercopithecidae. The record is from RNAcentral.